Molecule: ribosomal RNA, 706 nt
Filed under: Escherichia coli
Lineage: Bacteria; Pseudomonadati; Pseudomonadota; Gammaproteobacteria; Enterobacterales; Enterobacteriaceae
Description: partial 23S ribosomal RNA
Rfam family: Bacterial large subunit ribosomal RNA
Source: RNAcentral
UGUGUGUUAGUGGAAGCGUCUGGAAAGGCGCGCGAUACAGGGUGACAGCCCCGUACACAAAAAUGCACAUGCUGUGAGCUCGAUGAGUAGGGCGGGACACGUGGUAUCCUGUCUGAAUAUGGGGGGACCAUCCUCCAAGGCUAAAUACUCCUGACUGACCGAUAGUGAACCAGUACCGUGAGGGAAAGGCGAAAAGAACCCCGGCGAGGGGAGUGAAAAAGAACCUGAAACCGUGUACGUACAAGCAGUGGGAGCACGCUUAGGCGUGUGACUGCGUACCUUUUGUAUAAUGGGUCAGCGACUUAUAUUCUGUAGCAAGGUUAACCGAAUAGGGGAGCCGAAGGGAAACCGAGUCUUAACUGGGCGUUAAGUUGCAGGGUAUAGACCCGAAACCCGGUGAUCUAGCCAUGGGCAGGUUGAAGGUUGGGUAACACUAACUGGAGGACCGAACCGACUAAUGUUGAAAAAUUAGCGGAUGACUUGUGGCUGGGGGUGAAAGGCCAAUCAAACCGGGAGAUAGCUGGUUCUCCCCGAAAGCUAUUUAGGUAGCGCCUCGUGAAUUCAUCUCCGGGGGUAGAGCACUGUUUCGGCAAGGGGGUCAUCCCGACUUACCAACCCGAUGCAAACUGCGAAUACCGGAGAAUGUUAUCACGGGAGACACACGGCGGGUGCUAACGUCCGUCGUGAAGAGGGAAACAACCCAGAC